UACAGAGGGGGCAAGCGUUGUUCGGAAUUACUGGGCGUAAAGGGCGCGUAGGCGGCCUACUAAGUCAGACGUGAAAUCCCCCGGCUUAACCUGGGAACUGCGUCUGAUACUGGAAGGCUUGAGGAUGGGAGAGGGAUGUAGAAUUCCACGUGUAGCAGUGAAAUGCGUAGAUAUGUGGAGGAACACCGAUGGCGAAGGCAGCCCCCUGGGCCAAUACUGACGCUCAUGCGCGAAAGCGUAGGGAGCGAACAGG
RNAcentral lists this ribosomal RNA (253 nucleotides) under uncultured bacterium. RNAcentral's name for it is "partial 16S ribosomal RNA". It matches the Rfam family "Bacterial small subunit ribosomal RNA", at positions 524 to 776 of the family's 1533-position model. The record is from RNAcentral.